Daphnia magna is the source of this 1030-nucleotide long non-coding RNA. RefSeq lists it as uncharacterized. The record is from RefSeq and is a predicted model, not a curated record. NCBI's taxonomy places the organism in Eukaryota, Metazoa, Arthropoda, Branchiopoda, Diplostraca, Daphniidae. The transcript is spliced from 2 exons.
UGUGAUGAGAAUUGCCAUUCCUCUACAACUUCAGGUUGGACCUCGUAGCUUUUACCAUUGAGGUUGCUAUGAUUGGGUUCUAAGGUGAUGACAAAUCACUACAUAGGUCCAGGCGAAAAAUGUGUUGAUGUCCAUUGUUGCAGCGAUUCUUGGAGUUGGCGCCAUGUUUGGCUGUUUGAAAAUGGCUGACACCGUUACUAAGGGAUAAACUGGUAACUAAGCUUAGUCACGUGAUUUCUUUGGUCAAGUAGCCAAAGGGCGUAUGCUGGCAGCAUAAGGCUGAUACAAUGACACCAUUAAAUACACUACGAAAUAUGGGGUUUGUCAAAUGCUGAAAAUAGCAAAACUUAUGCAAGACAAUGAAGAAACACAAUACAUAAUUCUAAAAACCUUACGCAAAUAAAAUGUAGUUUCGGCUAGUUCAACAAAGCUAAAAUCACGUGACCAAGCUUUAGUCCCCGUCUUGUUUCUUGGUUACCGCGUCAGCCAUUUUGCAAAGAUCCAAAAAUGGUGCUGACAUGUAGGAUCGCUGUAAAGACUUGAAGUGAACCGAUUGUAAAUGAGAACUUGUUAGUUUUGGUUGCCAAUUAUUUAUAUACAGUUUUCAAAGUGAUUCAAGUUUGUUUGUUUUCCGAAACUCUUUGAUUCAAACAACUUGUGCUGAAUAAGGUAACAGGUAUCUCGUAAACAAAAUUACAGUUCCUUUGCUAUCAGUAUACGAAUCUCGGGAACAGAAACCGUUCGUACUUGUCAGACCGAUUCCAGCACACAGAAAUAAUGGUGUCCCUUCAACCGCUUCAACUUGGGUUAGCUAACAGUGUUAAUUGUCUAACUAGUCUACAUAGAGGCUUUCACAAAUGGAAAUGAGCAGGAUCCAACAGAAACCACAACCGGGAGAAACCACAGUAUGAAACAUGUUUUACUGUUUUAAUUUGAAAGCUCCUUUUGGUUGUUACUGCAUUAUUUAGAUAAGAUUUGAUAGAAAAGCAUUAAAAAAAAGCUAUAGUAAAAACAUCUUGUCAACCAAAAA